Molecule: long non-coding RNA, 708 nt
Organism: Sorghum bicolor (sorghum)
Lineage: Eukaryota; Viridiplantae; Streptophyta; Magnoliopsida; Poales; Poaceae
Exons: 3
Source: RefSeq, a predicted model, not a curated record
GCCCAACAAAGCCUUGCCUCAUGUGGGCCGUGACGGCUGUGUACACUCUGCUCGGCGUUCUCGCCGGACGCUAGUCGCGGCUCGUGGAGAUCAGCGCGUCGCGCCGUCGGCAAAGUUGCCAGGGCACCCGACCAGUGGAGGCGCAGAGCGGGCACCAGCCAACCUAGUCUGCGCAGCUGCGCGAUGGCGCCACGCGGGACCUGGCCUGCGCGGCUGCGCGUCUAUGCUGCCCCCCUGACAGCAAACUUUGUGGAUCUACCGGACUUCAGCCCGACGAGGCGACCUGGCGACACCCCGCCGCCGCUGUCCUUGUCCGCCACAUCUGAGCAUCUCUGUCAUACCGUGGACUCGAAUCCUGGGUCUGCUAUUGUGGACAGCCGCACCACUAUACUCUGCUACGGUGGUGGAUCUACACCGGCGUAGGCUCUGCACUGCUGGCACCCCGCACCCCACAGUCCCACACACAUGGCAGCCUCAAAGGCCAAGGCGGAGGCUCUGAACCAGUACGGUGCAGGUUCUCAGGAAAGCGUUUGUCCCUACUACUGCUGUAUCAAGCAAGGCUAAGGACGUGAAAUGCUUUUACAUUUGGAUAGUGACUCUUGAACAGCAAAUUAAAGCGACCUGCUACUUUCAUUUCGGUUCAGCCUUUUUAUUUUCUCUCCCUCGUGCUGUCAGCCAGUCUCUAUUUCUAAGGCCUUGUUUAGUUCA